UCCUCCCUCUGGCGGCGUGCUUAACACAUGCAAGUCGAACGGUGAAGCGAGUGCUUGCACUCGUGGAUCAGUGGCGAACGGGUGAGUAACACGUGAGUAACCUGCCCAUCACUCUGGGAUAAGCACUGGAAACGGUGUCUAAUACUGGAUACGACCAACCCUUGCAUGGGGUGUUGGUGGAAAGAUUUAUCGGUGAUGGAUGGACUCGCGGCCUAUCAGCUUGUUGGCGGGGUAAUGGCCCACCAAGGCGACGACGGGUAGCCGGCCUGAGAGGGUGACCGGCCACACUGGGACUGAGACACGGCCCAGACUCCUACGGGAGGCAGCAGUGGGGAAUAUUGCACAAUGGGCGAAAGCCUGAUGCAGCGACGCCGCGUGAGGGAUGACGGCCUUCGGGUUGUAAACCUCUUUCAGCAGGGAAGAAGCGAAAGUGACGGUACCUGCAGAAGAAGCACCGGCUAACUACGUG
Molecule: ribosomal RNA, 469 nt
Filed under: uncultured bacterium
Lineage: Bacteria
Description: partial 16S ribosomal RNA
Rfam family: Bacterial small subunit ribosomal RNA
Source: RNAcentral